Molecule: small nucleolar RNA, 131 nt
Filed under: Daucus carota subsp. sativus
Lineage: Eukaryota; Viridiplantae; Streptophyta; Magnoliopsida; Apiales; Apiaceae
Description: snoRNA Plant_U3
Source: RNAcentral
UCUGUUUCUAUGAAAUGGUACUGCUUGACCAGAGCAUGAUUAACAGCUCUUCCUGGUCUGUGUGAAGGGCUGUAGAGGAUCGUUCUCAGCUGGGUUUCCUGGCUACGGUGGUCAUGCAGUUGUCUGACAGA